CCCUUAGAUGUUCUGGGCCGCACGCGCGCUACACUGUUCGACGCAGCGAGUCUUAACCUUGACCGAAAGGUUUGGGUAAUCUUCAGCAAAGUCGAACGUGAUGGGGAUCGAUCAUUGCAAUUAUUGAUCGUGAACAAGGAAUUCCUAGUAAGUGCAAGUCAUCAGCUUGCGCUGAUUACGUCCCUGCCCUUUGUACACACCGCCCGUCGCUACUACCGAUUGAAUGGUUUAGUGAGAUCUCUGGAUUGACGCUGGCUAGGGGGCGACCCUUGGCCAGACUGUUGAGAAACUGCUCAAACUUGAUCAUUUAGAGGAAGUAAAAGUCGUAACA
This 331-nucleotide ribosomal RNA is filed under the name uncultured eukaryote. Its description in RNAcentral is "partial 18S ribosomal RNA". It matches the Rfam family "Eukaryotic small subunit ribosomal RNA", at positions 1470 to 1796 of the family's 1831-position model. The record is from RNAcentral.